RNAcentral lists this ribosomal RNA (486 nucleotides) under uncultured bacterium. RNAcentral describes it as "bacterial SSU rRNA". It matches the Rfam family "Bacterial small subunit ribosomal RNA", at positions 29 to 511 of the family's 1533-position model. The record is from RNAcentral.
AUUGAACGCUGGCGGCGUGCCUAACACAUGCAAGUCGAGCGGCAGCGCGGGAGCAAUCCUGGCGGCGAGCGGCGGACGGGUGAGUAACGCUUGGGAAUCUGCCUAUUAGUGGGGGACAACCCGGGGAAACUCGGGCUAAUACCGCAUACGCACUACGGUGGAAAGCCGGGGACCGCAAGGCCUGGCGCUAACAGAUGAGCCCAAGUCGGAUUAGCUAGUUGGUAGGGUAACGGCCACCAAGGCGACGAUCCGUAACUGGUCUGAGAGGACGACCAGUCACACCGGAACUGAGACACGGUCCGGACUCCUACUGGAGGCAGCAGUGGGGAAUAUUGGACAAUGGGGGAAACCCUGAUCCAGCGACGCCGCGUGGGUGAAGAAGGCCUGCGGGUUGUAAAGCCCUUUCAGUGGGGAAGAAAGCCUCGACCUAAUACGUCGGGGUCUUGACGUAACCCAUAGAAGAAGCACCGGCUAACUCUGUGCCAG